This 376-nucleotide ribosomal RNA is filed under the name Eudorella pusilla. RNAcentral's name for it is "partial 16S ribosomal RNA". The record is from RNAcentral. Lineage: Eukaryota; Metazoa; Arthropoda; Malacostraca; Cumacea; Leuconidae.
AGGGGCCUUAAUUCAACAUCGAGGUCGCAAUCUUCUUUUUUGAUAAGAACUCUAAAAAUAAUUACGCUGUUACCCCUAAAGUAAUUUAAUUUUCAGGUUUUGAGAUCUUUUAUUACACUAAAAUGUAGUGGUUAAAAAUUAACAGAUUUUUUAUUUUUGCCGCCCCAGCUAAACUAUAUUUAAAUCUCUGUCUAAUUUUUAUUUUUCACUAAGUUAAAUUUUAUAGGGUCUUAUCGUCCCCGGGGGUGCACCAGGUAUUUUGACCUGUAUAUAAUUUUCUAAGUUAAAAGGAAUAAUAAGUCUUACGUCAAGCCUUUUAUUCGGGUUCCCAAUUAAAGAACAAGUUAUUAUGCUACCUUAGUACAAUUGGAAUAUU